CUACGGGUCGCUCCAGCUGAGGAUCUUUUACAAUGCACGAAAGUGUGAUAGAGCGAGCCAGAGUGUUGUUCUUAGAACAACUUUUAUCUGCUGUAAAAAGGCAGAUGAAUAAGGACUGGGCAAGACCGGUGCCAGCCGCCGCGGUAAUACCGGCGGUCCAAGUUGCAUCCAUUUUUAUUGGGUCUAAAACAUCCGUAGCUUGCUUUGUAAGUUUCUUGUGAAAUCUCAUGUCUCAAACAUGAGGCUUGCAAGAAAUACUGCAUAGCUAGAGACCGGAAGACGUAAGGAGUAUGAUUGAGGUAGCGGUAAAAUGUGUUAAUCUUGAUCAGACUAACAACGGCGAAGGCACCUUACGAGUACGGAUCUGACAGUGAGGGAUGAAGGCCAGGGGCGCAAAACGGAUUAGAUACCCUCGUAGUC
This 420-nucleotide ribosomal RNA is filed under the name uncultured archaeon. RNAcentral describes it as "partial 16S ribosomal RNA". It matches the Rfam family "Archaeal small subunit ribosomal RNA", at positions 323 to 746 of the family's 1478-position model. The record is from RNAcentral.